UACGAAGGGGGCUAGCGUUGUUCGGAAUUAUUGGGCGUAAAGGGCGCGUAGGCGGCGACAACAGUCGGAUGUGAAAGCCCUGGGCUUAACCUAGGAAGUGCAUCCGAUACUAUGUUGCUUGAGUCCUGGAGAGGGUGGUGGAAUUCCUGGUGUAGAGGUGAAAUUCGUAGAUAUCAGGAGGAACACCGGUGGCGAAGGCGACCACCUGGACAGAGACUGACGCUGAGGCGCGAAAGCGUGGGGAGCAAACAGG
Molecule: ribosomal RNA, 253 nt
Filed under: uncultured bacterium
Lineage: Bacteria
Description: partial 16S ribosomal RNA
Rfam family: Bacterial small subunit ribosomal RNA
Source: RNAcentral